Esox lucius (northern pike) is the source of this 2005-nucleotide long non-coding RNA. NCBI's taxonomy places the organism in Eukaryota, Metazoa, Chordata, Actinopteri, Esociformes, Esocidae. The record is from Ensembl.
CUAUGAACAAAUAUAUAGACGAAUUUCGUAAUGUUAUGUAUGGCAAUAUUCUAAUGUUUGUUUUUUUCAGUUUAGUAAAUAAAUUAUCGUAUCAAUAAUUCUGCCAAACACCAAUUGCUCCUCUGUGCGACAAUUUGCACUUAAUUUUGGUACCAAAUUCUUUGUAAUUGUAUAAUUGAUUUUGUUUCAUUAAUCUGCCUGUUUGUUCGCUUCAGUUCCUCUUUUCAUUUCUACACCACUAAUCUGAUGUGGCAGGCACCGCAGCAGGGCUCAUAGGGACUGGAAGAUGUGGUUUUCAGGCUUCAGUUCAGUUUUCUGAAAACCACUUCCAGUGUUCGAGUCAUGCAGAGGCCAAUAUAUCAGUGACAUCACAGAGCUUUAGAGAAGAAAGAGGAGGUUGAAGAGAUGGACUCAACAAACGUCCAACUAUACAGUUUAUUCUAGCCUGAGUGUCAGUCUGUUUAUGCCAUCAUACCACUCCCUGCCUGUUCCUUUAACAUGACAGCACAAACUAUUCUAGGACCAGGCUACAGCUCACGGUGUGUGUGAGAGAAAUCAAAGAGUCUACAGAGGAAUUCACUGAAUGAUUGGCCUUUUUCAUUCCUCUGUCAAAUGUAUAGAACAUUGAGCUGAACGUGUAAAGUGCAGUACAGGCCUCGCAGGAGAACCUCAGUGACAGAAGAGCACGUGGGACCCAGAGGUGAUCCGAGUGUGCUGAGAUGGUGUGUGUGUGUGUGUUUACCGCUGUGGUCUUCUCCAUUUCCUGGUGAUACAGUGUUCCAAACUCCCUCUCUCUCUCUAACUCCCAUUCUUAGUCUAUUACUUACUAUCUGUCCUGUAAAAUAUGUGUCUGACACAUAGUUAGGACAGAAAAUGAAAGAUUCCCGAGCCAGGGAACCAUUCAACCUCAUCCUAUUACAGUGCAAUAUUUUAAAUUUUGCAGUUAAAGCUCUCGUAAACAUGCAGUACCAGUCAGAGGUUUGGACACACCAAAUCCUUCAAGAGUGUUUUGAGAGUGCCAGGUGUGUGUUAGGUUGUCAUUAAAUCAAUGGUUGUGGAAGAAUCUACAAUAUGAAAUAUAGUUUUGAUCUGUGGAUCACUUUUUUGGUUGGUACAUGAUUCCCGUAUGUGUUAUUUAAUAGUUCUGAUUCUACUUUGUGGUGAAUAGUGAAACUAAAGGAAACCCUUGAAUGAGUAGGCGUGUCCAAACCUUUGACCGGUAUGAUAUGUAUAUGUCUCUUUUUUUCUCACUUCUGGUCUGUGUCCAGUCCUUGAAAACACAUUUUGGUUGGUUUACAGCAUCCCAAGAUGCAGGGUCAGGAGUCAACUCAUUUAUCAAUUCAAGAAAAUAUAAAAAAUGUAUUUCAAGACUUGGAAUGGAUUUUCAACUUCCUUCCUGAAUUGACAAAAUGUAACAACUGAAUGUCCUACCCUGCUCUGGGACUCUGGGUUGAUUCUCAGUAAUGAUGAACUGAUAAACUUUUAGGGAGAGGAAGUUGACGGGCCACCACACAGCAGGCUGCAUGUUUCGAUGUUCUUAAGCCUCCAGCAUGCCCCGACGGGAACGUGACGCAAUGCCAGAAACAUUAGUAACUAAGAAAUUUAGUUUUUGUCUGAAAAGCUUUUCUAUGAUGUAGAAACUGAAUAUUGCGAAGCACACCUUUCUUCCUUUGCUCUCUCUCUUCCUCUCUGUCUUUCCCUGUCUCUCUCUGCUCAGCCCAAUGUCUUUUGCGUUUCUCUUUUAUAAAUAUGCUCUUCAGAUACUCUGUUGUUGAUGGUGUUUGAUAUGUCUUGUGGUACUCUUAUUGCCUUGGGGUUGUGGUGUAAUUCUUGUAUAUGAUAUAUAUUUAGCAUUGAUGAUGAUGAUGAUGAUGUUGUUGUGGAAGACACUAGUUACAUAAAGGCUAUGGAGAAAACAGGUUGACCAAAAUUAUCAUGUGACCUGUCUUUCUCCUAUCGGAUCCAUGUGGGGAAAUUUCAAUAAAGAUGACAACAUCAUGGGCAA